This 472-nucleotide ribosomal RNA is filed under the name uncultured soil bacterium. Its description in RNAcentral is "bacterial SSU rRNA". It matches the Rfam family "Bacterial small subunit ribosomal RNA", at positions 26 to 481 of the family's 1533-position model. The record is from RNAcentral.
AGAACGAACGCUGGCGGCAUGCCUAAUACAUGCAAGUCGAACGGCAGCACGGCAGAGCUUGCUCUGUGGGUGGCGAGUGGCGGACGGGUGAGGAAUACAUGGGAAUCUGCCCAGUCGUGGGGGAUAACGUAUGGAAACGUACGCUAAUACCGCAUGCGCCCUUCGGGGGAAAGCCGGGGACCUUCGAGCCUGGCGCGAUUGGAUGAGCCCAUGUCGGAUUAGCUAGUUGGCGGGGUAACGGCCCACCGAAGGCGACGAUCCGUAGCUGGUCUGAGAGGAUGAUCAGCCACACUGGAACUGAGACACGGUCCAGACUCCGUACGGGAGGCAGCAGUAGGGAAUAGUUGGACAAGUGGGCGCAAGCCUGAUCCAGCCAUGCCGCGUGUGUAGAAGAAGGUCCUUCGGGUUAGUAAGCUACGUUUUGGUACCGAAAGUAAAAGCGUACGUAGGGUUAAACCACCCGUGGUACGUU